This 66-nucleotide transfer RNA is filed under the name Phascolosoma esculenta. Its description in RNAcentral is "tRNA-Gly". It matches the Rfam family "tRNA". Rfam says of the family: Transfer RNA (tRNA) molecules are approximately 80 nucleotides in length. Their secondary structure includes four short double-helical elements and three loops (D, anti-codon, and T loops). Further hydrogen bonds mediate the characteristic L-shaped molecular structure. tRNAs have two regions of fundamental functional importance: the anti-codon, which is responsible for specific mRNA codon recognition, and the 3' end, to which the tRNAs corresponding amino acid is attached (by aminoacyl-tRNA synthetases). tRNAs cope with the degeneracy of the genetic code in two manners: having more than one tRNA (with a specific anti-codon) for a particular amino acid; and 'wobble' base-pairing, i.e. permitting non-standard base-pairing at the 3rd anti-codon position. The record is from RNAcentral. Lineage: Eukaryota; Metazoa; Annelida; Sipuncula; Phascolosomatiformes; Phascolosomatidae.
ACUCUUUUAGUAUAAUUUCAAUACAAUUGCCUUCCAAGCAAAAAAUUUAUCUAAAUAAAAAGAGUA